CCUACGGGCGGCUGCAGUGGGGAAUAUUGGACAAUGGGGGGAACCCUGAUCCAGCCAUGUCGCGUGUGUGAAGAAGGCCCUCGGGUUGUAAAGCACUUUCAGUGAGGAAGAACGCCUGGUGGUUAAUACCCAUCAGGAAAGACAUCACUCACAGAAGAAGCACCGGCUAACUCCGUGCCAGCAGCCGCGGUAAUACGGAGGGUGCGAGCGUUAAUCGGAAUUACUGGGCGUAAAGCGCGCGUAGGUGGCUUGAUAAGCCGGUUGUGAAAGCCCCGGGCUCAACCUGGGAACGGCAUCCGGAACUGUCAAGCUAGAGUGCAGGAGAGGAAGGUAGAAUUCCCGGUGUAGCGGUGAAAUGCGUAGAGAUCGGGAGGAAUACCAGUGGCGAAGGCGGCCUUCUGGACUGACACUGACACUGAGGUGCGAAAGCGUGGGUAGCAAACAGGAUUAGAUACCCUAGUAGUC
Molecule: ribosomal RNA, 465 nt
Filed under: Vreelandella stevensii
Lineage: Bacteria; Pseudomonadati; Pseudomonadota; Gammaproteobacteria; Oceanospirillales; Halomonadaceae
Description: partial 16S ribosomal RNA
Rfam family: Bacterial small subunit ribosomal RNA
Source: RNAcentral